GUAUUACUUGCUUUGGCAACACACACACUAACACUGGAGUGAUACAGAGAAGAAUAGUAUGACCACCUCACAAGGAUGACACCUUGAUCAGCUGUUGUGAAGAAAAAUAUC
Molecule: small nuclear RNA, 111 nt
Organism: Protopterus annectens (West African lungfish)
Lineage: Eukaryota; Metazoa; Chordata; Ceratodontiformes; Protopteridae
Source: RefSeq, a predicted model, not a curated record